GACGAACGCUGGCGGCGCGCCUAACACAUGCAAGUCGAACGGAGCUGAGAGAAGCUUGCUUUUCUUAGCUUAGUGGCGAACGGGUGAGUAACGCGUGAGUAACCUGCCCUGGAGUGGGGGACAACAGUUGGAAACGACUGCUAAUACCGCAUAAGCCCACGAUCCGGCAUCGGAUUGAGGGAAAAGGAUUUAUUCGCUUCAGGAUGGACUCGCGUCCAAUUAGCUAGUUGGUGAGGUAACGGCCCACCAAGGCGACGAUUGGUAGCCGGACUGAGAGGUUGAACGGCCACAUUGGGACUGAGACACGGCCCAGACUCCUACGGGAGGCAGCAGUGGGGGAUAUUGCACAAUGGGGGAAACCCUGAUGCAGCGACGCCGCGUGGAGGAAGAAGGUUUUCGGAUUGUAAACUCCUGUCGUUAGGGACGAUAAUGACGGUACCUGACAAGAAAGCACCGGCUAACUACGUG
Molecule: ribosomal RNA, 468 nt
Filed under: uncultured bacterium
Lineage: Bacteria
Description: partial 16S ribosomal RNA
Rfam family: Bacterial small subunit ribosomal RNA
Source: RNAcentral